UCUGCUCCUAUCGACAAUGCUGACGAAACAGUUGGUCUGUCAGAAAGGACUUCAUGGAAAACCAAAGGCAGAUAUGUGCCAGAGCCUUUGAACAAGCCUGAUAGCUUCGACGUGCCAAGUACUAGUGGUACAAAAGAUGUUCCUGAAGAAAAAGGAGUUCCUGCAAAAGAANUGUGCCAGAGUUUGAACAAGCCUGAUAGCUUCGACGUGCCAAGUAUUAGUGGUACAAAAGAUGUUCCUUAAGAAAAAGGAGUUUCUGCAAAAGGAGUCACUCCUUCAAGCGACACAUCAUUAGUUCAAAGUGAAUCAGCUGACAAAAAGCAAAAACAAAAAGCGAAUACCCAUCGUCAGCCGAAGCAGGUGAGAAAUCAGAAACAACAAAGGAAUCAGAGAUACAAGAAGAAUCCCUUUGAAAGAAAACAGUUCUGGCAAUCUCAAAAUGUCCAUUUCUCUUAUCAUGACAGAAAUUUAAAGUCAGAGAAAAACACUGUUAGGUCACAAGAAAGUCAUAACAACCGAAGAGAGAGGUUCGGUUAUGAAGGUCAAAACAACCGAAAGGAUACGUUCGGCUCUGAAAAAUUUGACAACCGAAAGCAAAGGUUCAGUUCGGAAAACACUAUCUACUGAAAACAGAGGUUCGGUUCCGAGAGCAAAAGAGACCAAAGAUCUAGGUUCGGUCCCACUAAUGAUCAAAAACAAAAGGGUCACUUAGAAUCUCAAGCCAAGAAAUCAUCUCAGUCUAACUUCUCUCGUUCUUCUUCUUCUAAUUCUUCUAAUUCCUCUCAACCUCUUUCUAAAUUCAACUCUGUUCGCACUCAAAAACCUAAAUCAUCAACAGAUAUGAAAGGAAAAUCAAAGUUUUCAUCAGUUGAAACAAAUCAAAAUAAUCCCAGAGUCCAAAUACCUAAACCAGAAUCCAAACCGAAAGAAACAAAUCACAAUAAAAUUAAGGUUUUCACCAUUAAAAAGAAAGAUGAAACAACGUUAAUAAAAAGAACAUAUCUUGUUGACAUCUCUCUAACUAUUCCUGUUCCAGUGAAAGGCUCACGUGGACCCAAGAAACUUUGGGUUCCUAAAUCUGCUUAAUUUUUGCAGGUUAUUAGUGACGAGCAGUUUGACGAAGAAUGGUACAUUGACAGUGGCUGCUCACGUCACAUGACAGGAAGGAAGGAAGAGCUGAGGGAGUUUAGGUCUCUUUCAAACGGUGGAAAUGUCAAGUUCGGGAACAACUCCUUCGGCACCAUAAAAGGCUAUGGAAUGAUUACAAAUGGUGAUUUUACGAUUAGGAAGGUUGCAUACGUUGAAGGACUACAACACAACCUCAUCAGUGUAUCUCAGCUUGUUGGAGGUACCGGUCUCAAGGUUUCAUUCGAUGAUGAGGGUUCGGAAAUAAUUGAGAAGAAAACGAAAAGAGUCAUUCUCAAAUCGGAGCGCAAAGGCGAAAUGUUUCCCCUGAACCUCAAACCCAUCAAAGGGAAUCCA
Molecule: long non-coding RNA, 1482 nt
Filed under: Lactuca sativa (garden lettuce)
Lineage: Eukaryota; Viridiplantae; Streptophyta; Magnoliopsida; Asterales; Asteraceae
Description: long non-coding RNA (LSAT_LNC007537)
Source: RNAcentral